Molecule: small nuclear RNA, 107 nt
Organism: Acomys russatus (golden spiny mouse)
Lineage: Eukaryota; Metazoa; Chordata; Mammalia; Rodentia; Muridae
Source: RefSeq, a predicted model, not a curated record
GUGCUCACUUCGGCGGCACGCGUACUAAAAUUGGAACAAUACAGAGAAGAUUAGCACGGCCCCUGUGCAAGGAUGGCAUGCAAAUUUGUGAAGCAUUACAAAUUAAA